GNCUAGANGUGAAAGUCGAGCGGACAGAUGGGAGCUUGCUCCCUGAUGUUAGCGGCGGACGGGUGAGUAACACGUGGGUAACCUGCCUGUAAGACUGGGAUAACUCCGGGAAACCGGGGCUAAUACCGGAUGGUUGUUUGAACCGCAGGGUUCAAACAUAAAAGGUGGCUUCGGCUACCACUUACAGAUGGACCCGCGGCGCAUUAGCUAGUUGGUGAGGUAACGGCUCACCAAGGCAACGAUGCGUACCAACCUGAGAGGGUGAUCGGCCACACUGGGACUGAACACGGCCCAGAUCCUACGGGAGGCAGCAGUAGGGAUCUUCCGCAAUGGACGAAAGUCUGACGGAGCAACGCCGCGUGAGUGAUGAAGGUUUUCGGAUCGUAAGCUCUGUUGUUAGGGAAGAACAAGUACCGUUCGAAUAGGGCGGUACCUUGACGGUACCUAACCAGAAAGCCACGGCCAACUACGGGCCAGCAGCCGCGGUAAACGUAGGUGGCAAGCGUUGUCCGGAAUAUUGGGCGUAAGGGCUCGCAGGCGUUUCUUAGUCUGAUGUGAAAGCCCCGGCUCACCGGGGAGGUCAUGGAAACUGGGAACUUGAUGCAAAAAGAGAGUGAAUUCACGUGUACCGUAAAUGCGUAAAAUGUGAAGAAACCAGUGGCAAGGCGACUCUCUGUCUGUAAUGACCUAAGAACAAAGCGUGGGAGCAACAGGAUAAAUACCCGGUAUCCACGCCGUAACCAGAAUGCUAAGUUUAGGGGUUUCCCCCCUUAUGCUGCACUUAAGCAUAACCAUCCCCGGGGAAUACGUCCCAAGACUGAAAUCAAGGAAUGACGGGGCCCCACAACGGGGAACAGUGGUUAAUUCAAGCACCCGAAAACCUACCAGGUCUGACUCCUCUGAAAUCCUAAAAUAGGACUCCCUUCGGGGCAAAGUGACAGGUGGUGCAUGGUGUCCCCACCCCGGUCCUAAAAUGUGGGUUAAUCCCGCAACAACCGCAACCCUUAUUUUAGUUCCCAGCUGAUUCAGUUGGGCAUUUAAGGUGACUGCCGGGACAAACCGGAGGAAGGGGGGAGACGUCAAAUCAUCAGCCCCUUAUACCUGGCUACACACGGCUACAAUGACAGAACAAAGGGCAGCGAACCGCGAGGUUAAGCCAAUCCCACAAAUCUGUUCUCAGUUCGGAUCGCCGUCUGCAACUUGAAUGCGUGAAGCGGGAAUCGCUUGUAAUCGCGGAUCAGCAUGCCGCGGUGAAUACGUUCCCGGGCCUUGUACACACCGCCCGUCACACCACGAGAGUUUGUAACACCCGAAGUCGGUGAGGUAACCUUUUUGGAGUCCAGCCGCCGAAGGUGGAGGAGGGUGAGAUCGGCUGCUAAAUUCCUUAUAAUUUCUCCC
RNAcentral lists this ribosomal RNA (1398 nucleotides) under Bacillus sp. (in: firmicutes). RNAcentral's name for it is "bacterial SSU rRNA". It matches the Rfam family "Bacterial small subunit ribosomal RNA". The record is from RNAcentral. Lineage: Bacteria; Bacillati; Bacillota; Bacilli; Caryophanales; Bacillaceae.